CCGCUCAGUGACUGAGCUUUCAGUUAUGAGGGGUGUGAUGGGUGCCCAAGGGUGCCCCUUCCACCCAGAGCCCUUCAGCACUCGGCUUGGGAGUUGGACUUGAGUUUGAGUCUGCGUCCUACUCUUUACCAGCUCAGGACCCAGGAAGAUGAUUUUGUCUUUAUUUUUUUUAAAUUUUUUAUUAAAGUAUAGUUGAUUUACAAUGUUCUGUCAAUUUCUACUGUAAAGCAGAGUGACCCAGUCAUACAAAUAUAGACAUUUUUUUCUCAUUUUAUCCUCCAUCAUGGUCUAUCCCAGGAGCCUGGAUAGAGUUCCCUGUACUGUACAGCAGGACUUCAUUGCUUAUGCAAUCUGAAAGAUACAUGCACCCCCGUGUUCAUUACAGCACUAUUUGCAAUAGCCAGGACAUGGAAACAACCUAAAUGUCCAUUGACAGAUGAAUGGAUUAAGAAGAUGUGGCAUGUGUACACAAUGGAAUACUACUCAGCUAUAAAAAAGAACAAGAUAAUGCCAUUUGCAGCAACAUGGAUAAACUAGAAACUCUCAUACUAAGUUAGAAAGGGAAAGACAAAUACCAUGUGAUAUCACUUAUAUCUGGAAUCUAAUGUACGGCACAGAUGAACUUUUCCACAGAAAAUAAACUCAUGGACUUGGAGAACAGACUUGUGGUUGCCAAGGGGGAGGAUGGACUGGGACUCGGGGGUUAAUAGAUGCAAACUAUGGCUUUGGAGUGGAUAAGCAAUUAGACCCUGCUGUCUAGCACUGGGAGCUAUAUCUUGUCACUUGUGAUGGAGCAGGAUGGAGGAUAAUGUGAGGAAAAGAAUGUAUGUGUCUGUGUGUGUGUGUGUGUGUGUGUGUAUGAUUGGGCCACUUUGCUGUAUAACAGAAAUUGGCAGAACACUGUAAAUCAACUGUAAUUAAAAAAAAACAACAACUUUUUUUUUUUUUUUUGCUUUUUUUUUAGGGCUGCACCUGAGGUAUAUGGAGGUUCCCAGGCUAGGGGUUGAAUCAGAGCUGCAGCCACCGGCCUACACCACAGCCACAUAGGGUCCGAACUGUGUCUGCAACCAACACCCCAGCUCAUGGCAACGCCGGAUCCUUAACCCACUGAGUGAGGCCGGGGAUUGAACCUGCAACCUCAUGGUUACUAGUUGGAUUCGUUUCCGCUGCACCACAAUGGGAACUCCCCCCAAAAUAAAAAUCUUUAAAAAAAAUGUUUGCAUCUGCUAGCCCCAAAUGAGUUCCUCUUUCCGAGACUGAUUUUUCUUUGAAAGGUGGAGAUGACAGUAAGGCCUCACUAGGCUGGGUGAAGCCAGUUGACCAAGGGCCAAUUCCAGGCACAUAGUAGGUGCUCAGUAAGCAGCAGGCCCUCCCUCUAGGUGGUGGGGGGUUGUGGAGAGACCUGAAGUGACCUGGCUUUCUGACGGAGUCCUCCGGGAAUUUUCUGUUGGGUUGUUCAUCAGGAAUCGAGGCGGGAGGGCGCCGGGUUCUGUUGGGUUCAUGCAGUUCCCCUGAGGCUUCAGUCUGGCCACUUCUCCAUCUGUCCUUGGCGACAGACACGUUUGGUUCCCCCCCCCCCGCCCUUAAGCUGUCCCUUGUGGACAGUUCGUACCCUCUGGCGGGUCUCCGUGGGGCUCCCCUGCCUCCACCAGCUCCUCAGCCUGGCCUGUCUACGUUAUCUUCCUCGAAUCGUAAAUUCCUGUCUUGAUUUCCUUUGGCGUCUUUUACCCUAAGAUGCAGCAUAGUGGGAAGUAGGGAGAACAUGGGAAAAAAGUAAAUCUGGACCCAGGUUUCUGGUUUUUUUUUUUUUUUUUGUCUUUUCUAGGGCCGCAUCUGCAGCAUAUGGAGGUUCCCAGGCUAGGGGUUGAAUCGGAGCUGUAGCCACCAGCCAACACCUACAGCCACAGCAACGCGGGAUCCGAGCCCCGUCUGCGACCUACACCACAGUUUAUGGCAAUGCCCGAUCCUUAACCCACUGAGCAAGGCCAGGGAUAGAACCCGCAACCUCAUGGUUCCUAGUUGGAUUCGUUAAUCGCUGCGCCAGAGUAGCAGCAGGAUAGGUUUCUGUUUUGACUUUACUUUGGGGGCCAGGUAUGUGGUGGCGCCUUACUGUCUCAUGUCUGCUUUCAAGGGCAUCUGCCUUCUGCCAGUGACAGCGGCUCCAGCCCCUUGGUUAGAGCCUCGGGUCGCAGUAAAUGAGAGAACAGACCGGGCAAGGCUGGAACCCAGCAGCCCUGCCAUCUGCAGGCAGCACUGCUUUGACCCUGAUGGUUGGGGGUGGGGUCCGGACAGCCCAGAGCCAGGGAGUAGGGGGGGGGUCAGCAUUGUCUCCCAGCCCCCUCCUGCUCCUCUCUGGGGCCAGGGUUCCUAGGACAGGGUCUCACCACCUCUUGGAUUGAGAACCAGACGGGGAAUCGGGGCAGAGGAGAGACAAGAUGAAGCACAGCAGGCUCGGAGCCCAAACAGCUCGUGUUUUCUGGCCUAAAUGCAGACAUUCGUGACAGGCAGCUGUGUCGGCUAAGUCAUGUUCAGAGCCAUGUUUUCACGGCUGGAAGUAAAAUUGGGGCUGACAUUCCGGGGCAUUUCUGGGGAGUCCUGAGACGGGCACGGUGGAAAGGGGAAUGGGGGUGGCCUCCAUUCGGGAAAAGGUCUUGGGAAACAGACAGAAUGUUCUCCGUGAAGGGAUGGUACACGACCUUCCAGAUAAGCAGGGCCAACAAGCAGACUCUUCCAUGAAGCAUGGCAGGUGCGGGCCUGUCUCAGGAGGGGCGGGUGGCAGGACACGAGGUACAAUGGCAGUGAACCUGGCGCUGGACGUGUCCCCGCAGCUCUGGGGCUUUACACAAAGCGGCUGCAGGCUCCCAGGCUUUACACAAACCGUAGCCAAACCCUGGGUAAGUCCUGCCCAGCCCUUAUCAAAGCCGGGGGACGUGGGAAGACAUUUCCAGAAAUAUUUUCACCAAUAAGGAUCAGAAGGGUGAUUCCUGCUUCUCCAAAAAUUAACUCGGAUUCUUUAGCUCCCACUCCCAGCACCUAAUCCUUCCCCACGCAGCAGCUUCAGCCGGAAAAUAGAGCUCGUGAUUGGCCAGGGGAGCCUUCCUGUCUUGGUGUCAAGGGGGAGCUGGUGGGAAAGCUUUUAAGGCCCAGAAGCCCGAGAUGAAAGGGGAACUUCCAGCCCCCAGAUGCUGGGGUGCCACCUCCCACACAGGCAGGGCAGCGAACCCUCCCUGGGAACGAGGCCUGGCUGACUCUGACCUGGGCCCCGAGGGACCCUUGCUGGCCCCGUGCUGUUGCUGCACCGAUUUGGGGGUGGGGGGCGGGAGGGCCGGGGACUCAUCCGCUCUGAAGGGCUUUUCCGCUCGGUGGCCUGGGGCCCUCUGGCCCCUGGUGGGAUUUGUCCUUCACGUUAGGCCAAGUCCCAAGCCAUGCGUCCCCCAGGACGGCAGGGCCUGGCUCAGCUCGCUGCAGGCAUCUGUCACCACCCACUCGCUCUGAGUCAUUCCACACUUAUCUGCACAAAUCCCAGAGCCUCAAAAUACGCUUUCUGCUUGGCCCCCAGCGCAGAUCGGGAAGGCUCGGAAAGAGGGGCGGGGAGGUGGGACACGCUCUGAUGGGCCUCGGGGUGGGGGGCUCGGAGGGCUCGGCGUGCCCCACUUGGGGCCAAGAACCUCACUUCCAUCUGCUGGGAGAGCUUCGAGGGGCCUGGGAGAGGAGGGGGCGGCAGUUUCUCCCCCUCACCUCCGCCUGGGAUCCCCUGGGGCCGGUUAAGAUGUGCGCUCCAGGGUCCCCCCUACCCCCACCCAACUGAAUGGAGGUUCCCAGCAGAGUCUUCUGUGCCCCGCAGAUCGGCUUUGCAGGAGAGGAAUCGGUAUUUAGAGUGUGUGUACUGGAACCAUCCUUUUUCCCUCCUCCUCAUUUAUCUCAAAAGAAGAUUCUAGAGCUUUUUGCCCAAGAUCCAACCUGGCACUGAGGCUGGCAACUUCCUGCUCCAAAUCAGUUUUCUCUGAUUUCACUCGUGGAGAAAGAUAAGGAAAUCAUUGUGCAAUUGCCAAACAAACAAACAACCCCCCCAAAAAAAACAAAAACCCGCAAAGAAUAUUUUUCAGUAAUCCCCAGUGCCCAGGUGCUCUGCUUAAUCCAGAGUCCUGACGGAGCCCUUGGCCUCGCCUCACCUGGAUGCUAACUUUCGGGAGUCCAGCACACGCACUCAACAAUGAAGUCAGGGAGUUCCCGUUGUGGCUUAGCCAGUUAAGAACCUGACUAGCAUCCAUGAGGAUGCGGGUUCCAUCCCUGGCCUCGCUCAGAGGGUUAAGGAUCCAGUGUUACUGUGAGCUGUGGUGUAGGUCACAGAUGCAGCUUGGAUCUGGCCUUGCUGUGGCUGUGGUGUAGGCCGGCAGCUGUAGCUCUGAUUCGACCCCCAGCCUGGGAACCUCCGUAUGUCGCACCUGUGGCCCUGAAAGAAAAACAAACAUACAAACAAUGAAGUCAGCCUGACAUCACCCAGCUCUGACACCGGAAGUACUCUAGGGUUUCAGUAACCACCGCGUUGGCACUAUCUGGAAUGCCAGGGAGUAAAGACAUGCGAUGACAUAAGCUGACUGUGGGCAGCGUUCUUCAUUUUAAAUGUGCACGUGUUUUUAGUGCUCGGUGAGCCUUACUCUUCCUGCCUGGCAGGAGGGAAAGGCAUGGCUUAUGGGGAGGAGUCAUGGCCUCAGCCCCGGGGCACCCCUUCCCCAUUCCCAGAACCCCUCCUGGGCUCCCCAAACUGGCCACACUCAGGCCCUUUUUCUCUCUGACCAUCCCCACCGCACACACAUUUCUCUCUCCUGGCUUUCAGCGUCCUCGUCUGAGAUUAGCUAAUCCAAUCAACUGCCAGUUCAGAGAACGGCUUAGUUUCGUGAGGUCUCUCUCCUGGUUAUUUAAAUACGGCCUUGACCCAAAGAAGAGGUCGCGGGAUAGGAAAUGUAAGCACCUUUGUCGGUUUGUGACAUCUCAGACUUGGGCAUUUACCUGUGGGAGGAACUGGGCACUUGGGGUCCUCCUGGAUCUGUAGCGGUAGUGUGUCUAAAAGGGGUUCUGGAAGGGGACACGCGGGCCAGCCAGAUCCCAGGGAAGGGACAGCUGCGCCCUCCCUGAUACAUGUAACAAGGUGCUUUGGCACCAGGAGGGCAAUGGAAAUGAGAAAUUUUGCUAGGAAAUUAAGUAUAGAACUGUCCUAUAACACAUAGCACAGCUGCUUCCUGGAGAUUCUCCUCCCAUGGCUUGAAAAAGCAUAUUCAAGAAUUCUCGCUGUAGCACAGUGGCUUAAGAAUCCAACUGCAGUGGCUUGGGUAGCUGCAGAGGUGAGGGUUCGAUCCCUGGUCCAGCAUAGUAGGUUAAAGGAUCUGGCAUUGUUGUAGCUGUGGCAUAGGUUGCAGCUGCAGCGCAGUUCAAUCCCUGGCCCAGAAACUUCCAUGUGUCCUAAGUACAGCCAUUAGAAAAUAAACAAAUAAAUCAACCAACCAACAGGCAAACUCAAUAUUCCAGGGUUAAUAACAUGGUCGCUUUCUCUUGUUGACUGCUUGUUUUUCUUUUUCUCCUCUAUGGCAAAAGGGUGGGUGGCAGUUGGCCGGUCACAUUUUGGUCCGCCUUCCUGGUAUAGAGUUUACAGAGAGUGAAAUUUACCAACUUUAUGAAUACAUUGACACGGGCUGGAGUUCCCAUUGUGGUGCAGCAGACAUGAACCCAACUAGGACCCGUGAGGAUGCAGGUUCGAUCCUUGGCCUCACUCAGUGGGUUGAGGAUCUGGUGUGGCCGGGAGCUCUGCUGUAGGUCACAGACUCAGCUGGAAUCCUGCAUUGUGGUGGCUGCAGUGUAGGCCGGCAGCUGUAGCUCUGAUUUGACCCCUAACCUGGGAUCUUCCAUAUGCUGCAGGUGUGGCCCCCCAAAGACCAAAAAAUAAAAA
This 5944-nucleotide long non-coding RNA is filed under the name Sus scrofa (pig). Its description in RNAcentral is "lncRNA (ENSSSCG00030005507.1)". The record is from RNAcentral. Lineage: Eukaryota; Metazoa; Chordata; Mammalia; Artiodactyla; Suidae.